GGAUGGAAUUACAGCCUUUUAAUUUACAACUUGAUGUCACUGCCACUCUCCCCAGCUCCAUCUUCAUCCCGCCGAGUCCCAUCUUCCUUCUCACCAGCCUGGUAUUUUUGAACGUACAUUUGAAUUGCAACAGUCGGCAUCAAGAUGGUGGGAAAUAGCAGUUGAGAUUUCUCAACUAGAAGAUUGAAAAGUCUAAGGCUGGACAAACAAUCAAACAAUGAGAGGUUAAGCCUGAGUUUGGUCUUCUGUUACUUGGAACUGAAAUAAUGUGCAUUGACACACCUAACAAGUCAAAGUAUUGUCUUUUGCUGGUCUGCUCUGGUCCUGGAAACAUCCACUGAUAGAAUCACUGGUCUGGGACAAAUUGUGGUACCCAAAGACCUCAGGAAGCACUUAGAAGCAUUACUCCUGAAGUCCCAUUCGUCCCAAGAAGAGUUGCUGGCUGGAGGAGACAAUAUGUAAACAUGUCAUGACAAGAUGGUGUGCCAUCAAGUCUGAGAUAAUCUGUUAUGGCAACGUAAGAAGCUAAUACAAGAUGCAGGAGUGAAGCAGCGAGGUCUGGAAAAAAGCUAUUGCAAAAAUACAGUCUCAGCAAGGGGAUAGAAGGAGCCCUGCAUUCUCUCCUGACACGCUUGACAAAAACAAACCCAACUAGAGGUCGCCAGCAACGGAGGGGCAUCCUGUGUAAGGACUUGGAAGAGGAGUUGUAUUGUCACCCCCUGGCCACUAGAGGACUUCAUCCUAUUUCAGUGGAGGAAGGCCUGUUAGGGGCCUCUCUAUACUGGUGGAGGUUUGGUCGUCUUCCCUUCACUUGAUUUCUGCCAGUGGCCUUAUGUGAGGAUGCUUCAUGAGAUGUCAAGUAUCCGAGGAGUCUGUGACACAACCAUCCAGUGGUGAAUUGCUAAGGAGCUCCUCUCCAGCCUGCUUGACUCUGAGGUUAAAAGAGUCUUCAUGUUGAGCACAAGUCAUCUCUUUGCACUUUCACCAGUUGUGUCCAUCUGAAAAACACAGAGGUCUGUCUCACUUCUGCAUCACAGUCCCUUCCAAGAAGCUCCACAAUGGGUAAGGCACAAUAAAAUGGCUUAUAUUCAACAAACACAUAA
RNAcentral lists this long non-coding RNA (1103 nucleotides) under Homo sapiens (human). RNAcentral's name for it is "novel transcript". The record is from RNAcentral. Lineage: Eukaryota; Metazoa; Chordata; Mammalia; Primates; Hominidae.